UCGGUAACGGAUGGCUAUGCGUCCCAUUAGCUAGUUGGCAGGGUAACGGCCUACCAAGGCAGCGAUGGGUAGGGGCCCUGAGAGGGGGAUCCCCCACACUGGUACUGAGACACGGACCAG
RNAcentral lists this ribosomal RNA (120 nucleotides) under uncultured bacterium. Its description in RNAcentral is "partial 16S ribosomal RNA". It matches the Rfam family "Bacterial small subunit ribosomal RNA", at positions 215 to 334 of the family's 1533-position model. The record is from RNAcentral.